Molecule: long non-coding RNA, 767 nt
Filed under: Bos taurus (domestic cattle)
Lineage: Eukaryota; Metazoa; Chordata; Mammalia; Artiodactyla; Bovidae
Description: long non-coding RNA NONBTAT013736
Source: RNAcentral
GAAGCACUGAGUUAGACCAGAAACCUCCAAAUCAGUUUGCAAAUGAUGUGGCGAGUGAAGAGACCAGGCUGUGAAGGUCACUGCCCUGAGAACACUGCUGGUGCGAGGAACAGGGUCACUGGAAAGCCAGUUUCUCUCUUACCUGUGGAUAGCAGGUGUCAGCUUCAACCUUGAAUGAGAUCAGCCUGGUCUUACCCAGAACCUAAAACGUCUUAAACCUCCACUUCACAUUAUUUUCUUCUUGGUUCUGCCACAAGGGUAGAAGCUGUAAUUUGGUAUAUGAUUUUCCCUUUUCCCUGAUGUAUCUGUCAUUGACUUCUGAUUCUUUAGUUCUUACAUUAACCUUUUAAACAUAUAUAGAACUGAUUUCAUAGAUGUUUUCUUCAUCCCUCACUGAAAUUAGCCUUGAGUGAAUAACUGGAAUAAAAUAAUAAGAUUGUGGUUGCCCCAAAUUAAUCUUUUGGUUGAGAGUAUUCAUGCUAUCCAUGGAUUUGGGAUCCAGGGGAGGCAUGAGAAAAUGUGGUUCUGACAGUUAAUAAUUUCUUUGGUAUUUGGUCUUCCGAGUGGAGGAGAGAAUUGAACUCUUUUAUCACUUCAAAAUAAUAAUAAAAAAAGAAGCAUGAAAUUUGCAUGUUAUAUAAAACACAAGAUGGAAACACAUUGCUGUUUUCUGUCCCUGUCAUUUGAACCCAGCUCCCUAAAAUGAAUGGUGCCUUUAACUUAUUGAGCCCAAGAAGGAAAAUUCAAGAAAAAAUGCUGCUUACCCU